The sequence is a ribosomal RNA, 538 nucleotides long. The stretch from base 173 to 326 matches the Rfam family "5.8S ribosomal RNA".
UCUCCGUUGGUGAACCAGCGGAGGGAUCAUUACAGAGUUGAAAAACUCCAACCCCUGUGAACCUACCUUUACUGUUGCUUCGGCGGAAGAUGGCCCCCCCGGGCCGGGCGCCGCCGGAGGUCACAAACCCUGAAUUUUUAGUGUAUCUCUGAGUACAAAACUAAAUAAUUAAAACUUUCAACAACGGAUCUCUUGGUUCUGGCAUCGAUGAAGAACGCAGCGAAAUGCGAUAAGUAAUGUGAAUUGCAGAAUUCAGUGAAUCAUCGAAUCUUUGAACGCACAUUGCGCCCGCCGGUAUUCCGGCGGGCAUGCCUGUCCGAGCGUCAUUUCACCACUCAAGCCCAGCUUGGUGUUGGGGCACCCGGCCGCCUGGCGGUCGGGGCCCCCAAGAACAUCGGCGGUCUCGCUAGGACCCUGAACGCAGUAACUCGCGGUAAAACGCGCUUCGUUCGGAGGCUUCCCGGCGGGCUCCAGCCGCUAAACCCCUUAAACUUCUUAGGUUGACCUCGGAUCAGGUAGGAAUACCCGCUGAACUUAA